UACGGGGGGUGCAAACGUUGCUCGGAAUCAUUGGGCGUAAAGCGCACGUAGGCGGUGCGACAAGUCGGGUGUGAAAUCCCUCAGCUUAACUGAGGAAGUGCACUCGAAACUAUCGCGCUUGAGUAUCGAAGAGGAUCGCGGAAUUCCCGGUGGAGAGGUGAAAUUCGUAGAUAUCGGGAGGAACACCAGUGGCGAAGGCGGCGAUCUGGGCGAUAACUGACGCUGAGGUGCGAAAGCGUGGGGAGCAAACAGG
This 253-nucleotide ribosomal RNA is filed under the name uncultured bacterium. RNAcentral describes it as "partial 16S ribosomal RNA". It matches the Rfam family "Bacterial small subunit ribosomal RNA", at positions 524 to 776 of the family's 1533-position model. The record is from RNAcentral.